UAAAAACACAAGAGCCAAGUACAAUACACAC
Molecule: non-coding RNA, 31 nt
Filed under: Rattus norvegicus (Norway rat)
Lineage: Eukaryota; Metazoa; Chordata; Mammalia; Rodentia; Muridae
Source: RNAcentral